UCUUAGGCAAAUCCGGGAUCACUUACGCCGAGCACCGAGACGAGUCCUAUGAGGACGAAGUGACUGACACCACGCUUCCAGGAAAAGCCACUAAGCUUCAGCUUAAGAAAAACCGUACCGCAAACCGACACAGGUAGGCAGGGUGAGAAUCCCAAGGCGCUUGAGAGAACUCGGGUGAAGGAACUAGGCAAAAUGGCACCGUAACUUCGGGAGAAGGUGCGCCCUUUGGUGUGGUCACGUGCGUGACUGAGCAUCGAAGGGUCGCAGUAACCUGGCCGCUGCGACUGUUUAUCAAAAACACAGCACUCUGCAAACACGAAAGUGGACGUAUAGGGUGUGACGCCUGCCCGGUGCUGGAAGGUUAAUUGAUGGGGUCAGCCGCAAGGCGAAGCUCUUGAUCGAAGCCCCAGUAAACGGCGGCCGUAACAAUAACGGUCCUAAGGUAGCGAAAUUCCUUGUCGGGUAAGUUCCGACCUGCACGAAUGGCGUAACGACAGCGGCGCUGUCUCCACCCGAGACUCAGUGAAAUUGAAAUCGCUGUGAAGAUGCAGCGUUCCCGCGGCAAGACGGAAAGACCCCGUGAACCUUUACUAUAGCUUUACACUGAACGUUGAGUUCUUCUGUGUAGGAUAGGUGGGAGGCUAUGAAACCAGGACGCUAGUUCUGGUGGAGCCAUCCUUGAAAUACCACCCUGAAGUGCUUGACGUUCUAACCUAGGCCCGUAAUCCGGGUCAGGGACCGUGUAUGGUGGGUAGUUUGACUGGGGCAGUCUCCUCCCAAAGAGUAACGGAGGAGCACGAAGGUACGCUCAGCGCGGUCGGACAUCGCGCACUGUGUGCAAAGGCAUAAGCGUGCUUGACUGCGAGAUCGACGGAUCAAGCAGGUACGAAAGUAGGUCUUAGUGAUCCGGUGGUUCUGUAUGGAAGGGCCAUCGCUCAACGGAUAAAAGGUACUCCGGGGAUAACAGGCUGAUACCGCCCAAGAGUUCAUAUCGACGGCGGUGUUUGGCACCUCGAUGUCGGCUCAUCACAUCCUGGGGCUGUAGCCGGUCCCAAGGGUAUGGCUGUUCGCCAUUUAAAGUGGUACGCGAGCUGGGUUCAGAACGUCGUGAGACAGUUCGGUCCCUGUCUGUCGUGGGCGUUGGAGAUUUGAGGGGGGCUGCUCCUAGUACGAGAGGACCGGAGUGGACGUUCCGCUGGUGUUCGGGUUGUCAUGCCCAUGGCAUUGCCCGGUAGCUACGAACGGAAGUGAUAACCGCUGAAAGCAUCUAAGCGGGAAGCACGCCCCAAGAUGAGAUCUCCCGAGAGCUUGACUCUCCUAAAGGCACCAUCAAGACUAGGUGGUUGAUAGGUCAGGUGUGGAAGCGCAGCAAUGCGUUGAGCUAACUGAUACUAAUGAGCCGUGAGGCUUGACCAG
Molecule: ribosomal RNA, 1416 nt
Filed under: metagenome
Description: bacterial LSU rRNA
Rfam family: Bacterial large subunit ribosomal RNA
Source: RNAcentral